GAGUUUGAUCAUGGCUCAGGAUGAACGCUGGCGGCGUGCUUAACACAUGCAAGUCGAACGAACCUUCGGGUUAGUGGCGGACGGGUGAGUAACGCGUGGGAAUCUGCCCUCAGGAGGGGGAUAACGGUUGGAAACGACCGCUAAUACCCCAUAUGCCGAGAGGUGAAAUGAAUUUCGCCUGAGGAUGAGCCCGCGUCUGAUUAGCUUGUUGGUGAGGUAAUGGCUCACCAAGGCUUCGAUCAGUAGCUGGUCUGAGAGGAUGAUCAGCCACACUGGGACUGAGACACGGCCCAGACUCCUACGGGAGGCAGCAGUGGGGAAUUUUCCGCAAUGGGCGAAAGCCUGACGGAGCAACGCCGCGUGAGGGACGAAGGCCUCUGGGCUGUAAACCUCUUUUCUCAAGGAAGAAGAUAUGACGGUACUUGAGGAAUAAGCCACGGCUAAUUCCGUGCCAGCAGCCGCGGUAAUACGGGAGUGGCAAGCGUUAUCCGGAAUUAUUGGGCGUAAAGCGUCCGCAGGCGGCCUUUCAAGUCUGCUGUUAAAGCGUGGAGCUUAACUCCAUCAUGGCAGUGGAAACUGAUAGGCUUGAGUAUGGUAGGGGCAGAGGGAAUUCCCGGUGUAGCGGUGAAAUGCGUAGAUAUCGGGAAGAACACCAGUGGCGAAGGCGCUCUGCUAGGCCAUAACUGACGCUCAUGGACGAAAGCCAGGGGAGCGAAAGGGAUUAGAUACCCCUGUAGUCCCGGCCGUAAACGAUGAACACUAGGUGUCGGGGGAAUCGACCCCUUCGGUGUCGUAGCUAACGCGUUAAGUGUUCCGCCUGGGGAGUACGCACGCAAGUGUGAAACUCAAAGGAAUUGACGGGGGCCCGCACAAGCGGUGGAGUAUGUGGUUUAAUUCGAUGCAACGCGAAGAACCUUACCAGGGCUUGACAUCCUGCGAACCUCUAAGAAAUUAGAGGGUGCCUUCGGGAACGCAGUGACAGGUGGUGCAUGGCUGUCGUCAGCUCGUGUCGUGAGAUGUUGGGUUAAGUCCCGCAACGAGCGCAACCCACGUUUUUAGUUGCCAGCAUUUAGUUGGGCACUCUAGAAAGACCGCCGGUGAUAAACCGGAGGAAGGUGUGGAUGACGUCAAGUCAUCAUGCCCCUUACGUCCUGGGCUACACACGUGCUACAAUGGCUAAGACAAAGAGUCGCGAAUUCGCGAGAAUCAGCUAAUCUCAUAAACUUAGUCUAAGUUCAGAUUGUAGGCUGCAACUCGCCUACAUGAAGUUGGAAUCGCUAGUAAUCGCUGGUCAGCCAUACAGCGGUGAAUCCGUUCCCGGGCCUUGUACACACCGCCCGUCACACCAUGGGAGCUGGUCAUGCCCGAAACCGUUUGCUUAACCUUUUGGAGAGCGACGUCUAAGGUAGGGCUAGUGACUGGGGUGAAGUCGUAACAAGGUAACC
This 1445-nucleotide ribosomal RNA is filed under the name uncultured marine cyanobacterium. RNAcentral describes it as "partial 16S ribosomal RNA". It matches the Rfam family "Bacterial small subunit ribosomal RNA". The record is from RNAcentral. Lineage: Bacteria; Bacillati; Cyanobacteriota.